CAUGUCACGUUGAAAUACCGGUUCUGUACGAUCACCGAAGUUAAGCAACGUCGAGCCUGGUUACUACUUGGAUGGGUGACCGCUUGGUAAUAACAGCUGCUGAAA
Non-coding RNA from Acanthosepion pharaonis, 105 nucleotides. NCBI's taxonomy places the organism in Eukaryota, Metazoa, Mollusca, Cephalopoda, Sepiida, Sepiidae. The record is from the annotation of a GenBank genome assembly.